UGGCAUCUUUGUCUCCGGUUCCUGCUCCACCCCUCAGACCACACCUGAGUUUAUGCUAAUGAGGAACUCCAGGCGCUGGAAACUCAGAUGGGCGUCUGGAUCAGCGACUCACGUGGCUGUGCUGAUGGGCGGAGGGCGCACCCGAGGGCCCUCCCGGACCUCACCUGUAGUCAUUGGGACCUGCUUUCCUGAGUUCCCUCCCACCCUGGGCCCAGGAGUCACCGGCGCCCUUGGGCGAUUCCUACGGGGUCAAGUUUGAGCAGCUCGGCCCUAGAGACAGCAGCCUCAGGGCAUCUCGAGGGCUGCACGGUCCGACCUCAGACAGACACUGUGCACCGCCAGAAAGAAAAGGAUCUGCUUGGAGGACCAUGAGGCCCAGGCUGGAGCCCGUCCUGCCCACGAACCUCGCUGUGCAGUGUGCACAUGUUAGCUCUAUCCAGAUCCAUCUCCCUCCCUUCCGGUCGCCAUCUCAGGGCUUCCCUGGUGGCGCAGUGGUUAAGAAUCCGCCUGCCAAUGCAGGGGACACGGGUUCAAGCCCUGAUCCAGGAAGAUCCCACGUGCCGAGGAGCAACUAAGCCCGUGUGCCACAACUACUGAGCCCGCGCCCCUAGAGCCCGUGCUCCGCAACAAGAGAAGCCACCACGAUGAGAGGCCCGUGCACCGCGAUGAAGAGUAGCUCCCGCUUGCCACAACUAGAGAAAGCCUGCACGCAGCAACAAAGACCCAGUGUAGACAAAAAUAAAUUAAUUAAAAAAAAAGAAAUCUCAGCUUUAAAAAAAAAAAAAUCGCUCUG
Molecule: long non-coding RNA, 793 nt
Organism: Balaenoptera ricei (Rice's whale)
Lineage: Eukaryota; Metazoa; Chordata; Mammalia; Artiodactyla; Balaenopteridae
Exons: 5
Source: RefSeq, a predicted model, not a curated record